CAAUAGCGUAUAUUUAAGUUGUUGCAGUUAAAAAGCUCGUAGUUGGAUUUCGGUUAAGAGCGACCGGUCCGCCGUUUGGUGUGCACUGGUUGGUUUUAACUUCCUGUAGAGGACGUGCUCUGGGUUUAACGACCUGGACUCGGAGUCUACGUGGUUACUUUGAAAAAAUUAGAGUGUUCAAAGCGGGCUUACGCUUGAAUAUUUCAGCAUGGAAUAACACUAUAGGACUCCUGUCCUAUUUCGUUGGUCUCGGGACGGGAGUAAUGAUUAAGAGGAACAGUUGGGGGCAUUCGUAUUUCAUUGUCAGAGGUUAAAUUCUUGGAUUUAUGAAAGACGAACUUCUGCGAAAGCAUUUGCCAAGGAUGUUUUCAUUAA
This 375-nucleotide ribosomal RNA is filed under the name uncultured eukaryote. RNAcentral's name for it is "partial 18S ribosomal RNA". It matches the Rfam family "Eukaryotic small subunit ribosomal RNA", at positions 592 to 976 of the family's 1831-position model. The record is from RNAcentral.